CGUUCCAUGGCCAAGUUGGUCAAGUCAUCCAACUAUCGCUGAUUAUAGGCGCAGAUGCGGGUUCGAGUCCCGCUGGAACGG
This 81-nucleotide transfer RNA is filed under the name Operophtera brumata (winter moth). It matches the Rfam family "tRNA". From Rfam's summary of the family: Transfer RNA (tRNA) molecules are approximately 80 nucleotides in length. Their secondary structure includes four short double-helical elements and three loops (D, anti-codon, and T loops). Lineage: Eukaryota; Metazoa; Arthropoda; Insecta; Lepidoptera; Geometridae. The record is from Rfam by way of RNAcentral.